Hyaena hyaena (striped hyena) is the source of this 532-nucleotide long non-coding RNA. RefSeq lists it as uncharacterized. The record is from RefSeq and is a predicted model, not a curated record. Lineage: Eukaryota; Metazoa; Chordata; Mammalia; Carnivora; Hyaenidae. The transcript has 5 exons.
GGAAGAGCCAUGAAAGAGCACACCACCAUGAGGAUGGCCACCCAGAAGAGAUCCAGGUGAUAUCCAGCUCCCUUCUGUAGAAAGAGCAAUAUGCUCUUCACUUGGACGGUAUUCAGAAUAUGCAGACCAAAGAUCUAAAAGCAACCUUGAGAAGGAAUUGAAAGAAAGAAACUUCAGCAACUGCAUCUCUUGUCUUCUAAAGUCUUUCCACUCCUUCUACACAAAACGCAAGGGGAGAGAUUUCAAGAGACUCCAGCUGCGUAGAGCAGCUCAUUGAUAAAAAUCAUGUAUAAUCAAGAUUACCUAAGAAAUACUGACAUCUUAAACACUGAGAAUUGAACGGCAAAGCAAAGGAUUAUCUUAGUUUCACUCUGCAGCAUUCAUCAUUGUGGGAAGGAAAAUUUGGCUCAGAUGACGCUCAUAUCUUAUACCAAUACUGGGCUAACAACAGUAGCCAUAGAAGAGGUGUAGGUGCCCAAGAAGAGGAUGAAAGACAUGAGAGUAAUGUCAGGGACAAAAUCACAGUUGUUCC